AUACGGAGGGUGCAAGCGUUAAUCGGAAUUACUGGGCGUAAAGCGUGCGUAGGUGGUUUGUUAAGUCAGAUGUGAAAGCCCCGGGCUCAACCUGGGAACUGCAUUUGAAACUGGCAUACUAGAGUAUAGGAGAGGAAAGUGGAAUUUCAGGUGUAGCGGUGAAAUGCGUAGAUAUCUGAAGGAACAUCAAUGGCGAAGGCAGCUUUCUGGACUAAUACUGACACUGAGGUACGAAAGCGUGGGUAGCAAACAGAAUUAGAAACCCUGGUAGUCC
RNAcentral lists this ribosomal RNA (274 nucleotides) under uncultured bacterium. RNAcentral describes it as "partial 16S ribosomal RNA". It matches the Rfam family "Bacterial small subunit ribosomal RNA", at positions 523 to 796 of the family's 1533-position model. The record is from RNAcentral.